AAAAUUAGAACAUUCAAUGGGGCUUAUAUUUCAACAACUUAAAAAUUAAGAAAAUUCAAUUGGUAAGGAAAGUACACUUAUGUUUCUUUUUGUUUAAUUUUAACACA
Non-coding RNA from Hydra vulgaris (swiftwater hydra), 107 nucleotides. The record is from RefSeq and is a predicted model, not a curated record. NCBI's taxonomy places the organism in Eukaryota, Metazoa, Cnidaria, Hydrozoa, Anthoathecata, Hydridae.